GGCCUUUCUUUCGUAUUUCCUGAUAACCCCCUGCAGAAAUAGACAAACACCAAAACUCGUGGAAUUCUGUCACAUAAAACCCUAAGUCUAGGUGUUAGUUGCAUUUGGAUCCUUUUCCAUGAUUAGUUGAUGGUUAAAUGUGAGCAUUAAGGACCGUCAACAAGCUCCCCCAAGAUUAACCUUUGCUCGUCCCUGAGCAAAGAUGAACUGAAGAGUUUCUGCAGUGGUUUCAUGCCUUAAAGAUAUACUUGUGUUCAAUUAAGAUCUCAUCUCUGGGUUAGGGUAAACUGUUAAGAUUUAAACUUACUCAUUGUACCUUCCACCAUGGGGCUUGCAACCGUCACUUGUGUCUUGAGCAGUUAAAAGAUAUAACGGUCUAGUCAAGCGCCAUGUCUCUUGUUCUUCGAUUAACUACAGCUCUGGAGUUUUUGCAGAUUUUUAGAUAAAACUCAGUGAUUCCUUGUAUGACUCUCUCUAGUCACUCUUUAGUGGUAUAAGACAUAGUGACAUUGUCUUCUCUCUCAUCCAACUCUAAUAAGGCUUUAAUAUCUGGAGCUCAUAGGUGGGAGACAGCUAAUACAUACUUACAAGACAUUUAUUGCAUAGUCGAACCAUGGAUCCAGAGAAACAAGUCAAUAAGUCAAAUCAAGAUGUGCAUGUGUUGCAAAUGAAUGGUGUAUGGUAAUGAUGGUGAUAACAAUGGUGAAAGUCUAAUUCUACUUUUGCUCUUUUGAGGGGAUACAUACCUUCCUUGCUCUUUUGAAACUUUUGGGAAGAAUGAGAUGCUCUGUAUUUUCUUUUUCUUUCCUCUCAGGUGGGCAUCUUGUACCCCUAAUUCUACUGUCGUACACUUGUGCAUUUUUACCUUUCGUCUCACCUUUUUCUUUUCUUUCGAGGUUCCGGGCACUUGCACCUUUUUAUUUCCUCGUAUCUUUUUUCUCUCUCUUUUUUUAGAGCACUCAUCUCUUGAAUUAAUGUAGCAAGUGGCAGUAACCAAGAUAACUUGUGCAUUAAUUUCACAGGGGAAAACAGAAAUGUUUUUGGCUAUUCUCUCCCGGAUUAGGAGUAGAAUAUUUUUGGGUGGUUCUGGAGAUGGAAAUGGGUGGAUAUAUGUGGAUGCGUACUUCCGGAGUAGAAGCAGCAUGUGUGAGUGAACGUGCAAGUGAAUCUUGAUUUUAACCACAUGACAAGCCGCUAAGGGUCUACACAGCUUGACCACACUCAAUGCUCAUAAGCAGUAAAGUAAAUGUAUGGUUCAUAGUCUAAUAAGCAUGUAUAUAUGGCUGUGGUAGGAAUUUAAACUCUCAUCAUACAGGAACUCAUCAUGCAAUAUUUUAAAGAUUUUCAAAGAUAAAAUUCUCCAGAAUUCUAGCAUCUCUAGGAACAUAUAAACAACAACUCAACCUUCCCAUAUCGUAUCUGUUAACGACUUAGACUUUAGAUCAAGUACUCUUCCCACAAGUUCAGGUUUAGAGCAAAUCUUAAUUCAUAACAGUCAUGCAUAAACUUGAGAGAGACUUCAAUUUUGAGAACUAGUCAUGGCAGAGCAACUAUUCAUCAUUUCCAUGUGAGAGCUUAUCAUGAGGGUUCAUAGCAGACUUUAUUUAUUUAUUUAUUUAGCAAACUAAGCAAAGAUAUAUGUAUAUGAGCACAAAAUCUUUAUUUGGGUUUUUAUGAUUAUGCAUCAUUUUAUUAUUUGAGUAAAGUAUAAACAUGAGUAGAACACUUAGCUAGAUAAAUGGGGGUGCUCUCCCCCAAGCUGGAUUUUGACAUAAUUCCUUCUGAUGUAGCUAGCAGGUGGCGAAGGUGUAUUUGAAUGUCGGCCGCACCCUGACAGCGAUUAGGAUGUCCUUCCUCUGCUAGUCUUCUUUGAUCCUUGAAUUCUAUGGAGCUCAAAUAGACAACAAAGCUUUGUGGAACUAGUUAAGUGUUAGCAUAAAUAUCUAGCCUUUAUCAUGUUGAGCCUCCUCAAUAAAUGUUACUCUCUUUAGUAGGAUCAUAAAUUUAUUUUUAUAAUUUUAUUUUUAUAGGACAGGAAUAUAUUUAUUUCAUUUUUACGCCACCAUAGUGAAUGUACUUAUAGGUUUUAUGCCAUGAGCAUACUCACAUGGGGCUUACUAUUUUUAUUUUAUUUUCAAGAUGAUAUGAACCUGAUUAACUAAGCGAACUAUUUUAAAUAAUAGAAAGGAAAAAGAUAACUACCAAGUUUACCUCUUGGCAAGGCGUUCGGUGUUUUCAAGUCCUCCGAAUGGGACUCUCCUGUAUUCUCAGUCGUCCUAGGAUUCGCUGGAUGGCGUAGUCGGUGGUUACGGCGGUGCAUGCUCUUCGUGUAUAACUAUCUUCUCUCUCCACACCUGACUCAGUGCUACGAUCUCCACAAGAUAGUUCUGUUCAAGUUGUAUGUCUUCAGACCUUACAACUUCUCAUUCAUAGUCUGCCCAUCCGUCCUUGAUGAUUUGCCUCCUCUGGUUGCGGUUGCGUCGUCUUCUUCUUGUCCUGACCUGCUUAGAGUCUUCAACUAUGUAGUUAGGGUCAAUAAAAUAGCGGCGUACCUUCUCAAAGGGGAAGUGCAUGUGGACUUCUCCGGUUCCAAUGUAGAUGAUUGCUUUAACGGUGCUGAGGAACGGUCUUCAAAGGAUGACGGGUGGAUUAAAUUCGUCUUCUCGCAUGUCAAUAACCUUUCGGAAUGUCUGAUCUGCCAUCCGGUGUCGCAAAGCGUCUUCUAGAAGUUGUAUCCAUUAAUGGAGCACUGGAUGGUUGGCACACCUGGGUCGUCCUUUUGAAUCAGGAACAGUGACUUAAGUCGACAAUCUUGACCUCCUUGAACUGCAGUGACCAUCUUAGCUGACUUGGUCCACAUUUGCUUGUUCCUGUCCCUCCUGUUGGUCCUCUUCCUUGGUUCAUGUCGGGAAUGCUAAGAUUUGUGUAGUCUUGUUCUUGAAGGAAAACGUCUCCUUCCUCCCCUUGAUGUAGAAUCUGAUCUUGGUAGCACUAGCGUAGAUGACAGUUCCUGAGGUAUUCAGGAAUGGCCUCCCUAGGAUGAUGAGUGCCCCCUCAUCAGAACCGGUCUCUGUCACCAUGAAGUCUGCUGGGGUGUACAAGGUACCAACUCGGACGCAGAGGUUCUUCAAUAUUCCCUUUGGGAAACAUAGUGUCUGAUCUGCAAGCUGCAAACACAUGGUUGUUUCUAAUAAAGGAUGUGUAAAGAAUUUUUCAUAGAGUACCCUGGGCAUAAUGUUGACACUAGAGCCAAAGUCGCAGAGUGCUUCUAGGAUGUCCACCAUGCCAAUGGAGAUCGGGAUGACGGGGCGUCCUGGAUUGUCUCUCUUGAAUGACAGAAGGUCAGUAAUUACUUCCACAAUGGGGUUACUCCAAUAGUUACGUCCUCAAGCAUCGCAGGGCAGUGAUUGCCUAAGUGUCCAGUAUCUCUAGUGUGUUUGUGCUCGUAGAUCUAGGUUCUUCACUUGGUGGAUGGGAGUUGUAAAAGUCCUUCAUAUUUCGCUCAAAGUGUACCUGCUCAUAGAAACAAGGCAGAGAUCAAGUGCAUGGGCCCUGUUGGUAGAACACACCAACAGAACCAAAAGUGUAUUUAUUCUUCUCUAACCUCAAGCGUAGUGAGCAAGACAAAUUUGAUGGAUAAUAAGAUCAUGAGUGUAGCAUUUAAAACAUUUGUCAGAUCAGAUCGUUCAACCUAAUGGAAAGAUAAUCUAUCUAUACUUAUGUUUUUUUAUAUAUAUCUUCCAAAGAUUGAGUGUGCAACCUUUUAGCUCAUAAGAAUAGGAGUGUGGGAUCACAAAGGUGGAAGGACUAAACAUGUUGAAUCGAUUGGGUUGGUUAAUCUAGAGUUGUAAAUCAUACAUGUUUGUCUCUUUUAUUCAUGUGAACGCUAGAACCAAGGAGAAGCUUAUAGAAGUGAAAGUCAAGUACCUUAAGAUGUUACCUUACUUGAAGAGUGAUGGUACAGUAUCACCUUAUGAAAGCUUUCCUUUCUUAGCGGUUAUGCAUCGUGUUUGUUACCUUACUUGAAGAGUGAUGCCUUUCUUGUGUAAAUUGUUAACCUUCAUGCGUCUCUCUCUUUGUCUCCAAUGUGAGUUUAUCUCAGGACUUCCCAGGUCGAUAUUGAAAGUUUUCCUGCAGGGGUUAGUCCAACAAAAUAUCCAAUAUCUACUAUAGCAUACUAUCGGCUCAAAAAUCAACCUAGACACCAUGUCUAAUUUGAUUUAGGAGGGCAUUUUAACCUAAGCACCAUGCUUAAUUUAAAAUCCCUUGGAAGUAAGAUCAUCAUUCCUAAACUAAGCACCAUGCUUAAUUAAGAGAUAAAUGAAACUACUCCAAACCUAGACAAAUACUAAAGCAAAUAAAGGUAGCAUGAGAGCAUUUAUAGAGAUCUACUCAAGUGUAGAUGAAGUAGUGUGAUUAGUAUUUAACAAAUUGAGGAUGUCUCAAAGGUAGGGUCAACCAACAUAGCAUCAUGGCAAAGGCUAUUUUUUUGUAAAGUACUCCCCCAAGCUUGGAUUUUGCAAAAUUCAAGUUUGGAUGAAUUUAAUUCAAUGUUGUAUGAUGAUUGGUUGGACAUACCUUGUGCUUGUCAUUCAUCCGAUCUUCUUGCUCCAAUCCUGGAAAGGUUAGUGACAAGAAUACCUGAAGGAAUAUUUUUACAAUUAUCCUUAUAUGCUCAAUACACAAGGUAAUGUUGCAAAUAAUUAAAAGCUCAUGUUACGAUUUGAUCAGUACUUAUUUUAGGACACUAAGCUUGUCCUUGGGAAACCAUCAAUUUAUGUCAGCGAAGUGGUUUCCCCUCCAACGCUGACCUAUCUCAAGAUCAACUCAACGAGAUCUGCAAUGUUUAUUAUAGACAUAUGCAUCGACAACAGCCCUUUUAAAGUUUUUAUAAAUAGAAAGGAAGAGGGGGUUGGAGAUCUCGAAUGUGGUGAUUUUGGAGAGACCAAAAGAUUGGGAAGAUGUUGCAUAUGAGCAUGGAGUAAAUGAAGUGGCUAUGAAAUCAAUUCCAUGCUCAUUAAUGCUUGGAGUGAAAUCCAUGUGGUGUGGUGAAAAUUGUAAGGUGAGUGUGGUAAAAAAGGAAAAGAAAAGGAUACACUGACGACUUGGUUAGAAACUAGCACAGCUACCGUUCCCCGGCAACAGCGCCAGAAAGCUUGUUGGGUAUUUUAAACGCAAAUAGAAAAAUCCGCAAGCACACGGAUACCGAUGUAGCCUUCACCCGAGAGUAUUCCAGAAUAUCGAUUUUCCACAGGGAACGUGAGUGUACUAAUUAAGAUUCAAGAUCGCCCAGGGAUAACUAUAUAAGUAUUUUUGGUGGGAAGAGAGGAAGUUUUCUUAGAGUUCUAUAGUUGAUCUAAGAAUCAAGAAUUACUUCAAGAUUAUCUAUUUUGGGACAUCAGAACACUAACCACAUAAAGAGAUGAGAAGGGGGCUAGGAAGCUCUGACUAUGGUCCUACAAACACCGAUCCGAACGAGGUGGAAUACUUCGAUCGUUAGGGCUGUCACUACCAUAGGGCUACCACAACAAUCCGCAAGAUUGGGUGCAAUUCCAGGUAAUUGCAAGACUAAACACCACGUCUAAUCUAUUAAUUUCUACUCUAAUGUUUCAAAGAUUAGAGCACUUGAUGCAAGCGGGAAUCCAAUAAAUAACUUGAAUGUAAAUAAAAGUAAUUAAAGAACUCAGGAAUUGUGAAUUGAAGAACCUGGAGAACGAUGAAGAAUGAACCAGAUGCUGCAAAAGUAUAAUGUUGAGUAAGAUCCGACAGAUCCGGCUCCUCCUCCACUCGCCUCUUAUCUCUCCCUAUUUUCUAGAUUACAACUAGAACUAACUAGAACUAGAACUAGAGGAACUAGAACUAGAUCUAGAUGAACCAGAACUAGAACUAGAUGAACUAGAGGGAUCCUCUCUACUUGGAUGAAGAAUUGAAAUCCUAACUUUGAUUCUGUAGAAGAGGUAUGCUCUCUAGGGGCUAGGGGGCCUUGCUUAUAUUGUCUUUUUAGGUGAAUCUGGGCCGUCGGAUCAAACCGACAUUGAUUGAACGGUUAUCCUUGAUCCUUUAGGUCGGUGGAGCAUGAUCCCCGAGUUGUACCCUAAUUGGGCAGAAUAGGAGGACGGGCGCCCUAAGGACUAGGGCGGGCGCCCUGUCCCUGAGCCCUCUCGGCUUUCGCUUUGUUCCCGUGGCUUCUGGAGUCUUCUAGAUGAUAGAAUAUGGCGCAGCAUGUUAAUAUCUCUAUGUAAACCCGACGUGUGGGCCUUUCUUCCGUAUUUCCUGAUAACCCCCUGCAGAAAUAGACAAACACCAAAACUCGUGGAAUUCUGUCAGAUAAAACCCUAAGUCUAGGUGUUAGUUGCAUUUGGAUCCUUUUCCAUGAUUAGUUGAUGUUAAAUGUGAGCAUUAAGGACCGUCAACACUCGUCCCUAAGCAAAGAUGGACUCAAGAGUUUCUGCAGUGGUUUCAUGUCUUAAAGAUACACAUGUGUUCAAACAAGAUCUCAUCUCUGGGUUAGGGUAAACUGUUAAUAUUUAAACUUACUCAUUUUACCUUCCACCAUGGGGCUUGUAACCGUCACUUGUGUCUUGAGCAGUUAAAAGAUAGAAUGGUCUAGUCAAGCGCCAUGUCUCUUGUUCUUUGAUUAACUAUAGCUCUGGAGUUUUUGUAGAUUUUCCAAUAAAACUCAGAGAUUCCUUGUAUGACUCUCUCUCUAGUCUCUCUUUUGUGGUAUUUCUGGAUCCUUAUCUAGGCGGUAAUGGUAUAUGCCAUCUCUCAAAGUAUGUGGUAUUUGUGGUACCAGGCAUAGUGGCAUUGCCUUCUCUCUCACCCUACUCUAAUAAGGUUUUUAUAUCUAGCGCUCAUAGAUGGGAGACAGCUAAUACAUACUAACAAGACAUUUAUUGCAUAGUCAAACCAUGGAUCCAGAAGAACAAGUCAAUAAGUCAAAUCAAGAUGUGCAUGUGUGGCGAAUGGUGUAUGGUGAUGAUGGUGAUAACAAUGGUGAAAGUCUAAUUCUACUUGUGCUCUCUUGAGGGGAUAGAUACCUUUCUUGCUCUUUUGAAACUUUUUGAGGAGAAUGAGAUGCUCUAUAUUUUCUAUUUCUUUUCUCUCAGGUGGGUAUCUUGUACCCCUAAUUCUACUAUUGGACACUUGUCCAUUUUUACCUCUCGUCUCACUUUUUCUUUUCUUUCGAGGUUCUGAGCACUCGCCCCUUUUUAUUUCCUCAUAUCUUCUUUUUUUUAGAGCACUCAUCUCUUGAAAUAAUGUAGCAAGUGGUAGUAACCAAGAUAACUUGAGCAUUUAUUUCACAGGGAAUAACAGGGAUAGGGUAUUAUUUUUGGCUAUUCUCUCUCGGAUUAAUAGUAGAAUAUUUUUAGAUGGUUCUGCAGAUGGAAAUGGGUGGAUAUAUGUGGAUGCGU
RNAcentral lists this long non-coding RNA (7415 nucleotides) under Sorghum bicolor (sorghum). Its description in RNAcentral is "long non-coding RNA (SBIC_LNC008815)". The record is from RNAcentral. Lineage: Eukaryota; Viridiplantae; Streptophyta; Magnoliopsida; Poales; Poaceae.